This is a long non-coding RNA of Vollenhovia emeryi, 3080 nucleotides long. RefSeq lists it as uncharacterized. The record is from RefSeq and is a predicted model, not a curated record. The transcript has 3 exons. NCBI's taxonomy places the organism in Eukaryota, Metazoa, Arthropoda, Insecta, Hymenoptera, Formicidae.
GAAAGUCGACCUCAAUCUCGAGGGAGGUCGCGGCUCAAGAAAACCCUAGGCUCUCGUGCACUUCAAUCUAAGGCCCGGUCGCGGGUCUUAUCGGCAGCAGCGAGGUCAUAGCGAUUGCGAAGGGAAAAAAAAGGCGGAGUGAUAAGAAAAAUCUGCCGUAACGCAGCGAUAAAAUUUAGCUGCGAAAAAGAUCGCCCGGACACCGCUCGACGGAGCAGCGAGUGGUUCGAUCAUUUAGCGAAUUUAGAAAGCUGAAGACGGACCGCUCGGGGUGAUCUCGACUGAGAAAAGGGGGCUAACGAAUUUCACGGGUUGGACGAGGGAGAGUUAAAAGUGACCUUCGCGGGGUCGCGGAGAGAUCACGAUCGAACGAAUCAGCUGUCGCAUCAGAGCGUCGCGCCGCGCGCGAACGCGACCUCCUUACACUUUCUCAUGACUGCAAUUAAAGAUUAACAAGUCGGGACGCAACUUGCGUGGACAUUGUCAUUCGUUUCGUUAGCACAAAAGGCCUCAAUGGCGCGGCGCGCAAAGACUGACGUGUCAAUGUCAACGCACUCGGCUUUCGGCAUCGACGAUUGAACUUCGCAGACGCCGUAACGAGCCAAUAAAGGUCAGAAGAGCAGCGGUCGCGACGGGAACGGGUUUUUUUUUCUGGAAUUUCAACGACGCGACCAACGUCGCAAGGUUUGCGGACAAGCCGAAUGCAAACUUGACGCCUAAUGAACGUAGGAUACGUCGCGACAUGGUUUAAAAUAACGCCGAUAGAAAUCCGACCUCGCUAUUGACGCACGUCCUCGACUUCGGCGCGAAGGUUCCCUUUCGGCUCCUUAUUUGAAAGUAAGAGCGCACUCGAGGCACCCAAGGCCCCUCCGCGCACACAUGCAUAUGCACGGACCGCAACUAAAGGCGAGCGAUCGCGAAAGCGAUAAUAUAAGAGGCGUGGUAAGGAGCGAGAUAAGGAGCGUGCACACGGCUGUGCAUUGGAAAAUUUAUGCUUAUCAAAUCCGCGACUGUGCGGCGAGCGACCCGGCCCUAACGAAAGCGGACGCCGACACGCGCGCGGCACCAGAAACAGAAACGAGGUCGAGUACGUGCGGUUUUAUAAGCGUGGGUUGACCUUAAAUCAUCGCGCGGAACGUAAACGCGUCAUGUACCUGCGUGCAAAGGUACGCCCGACAGAUGUCCAUUUUAUUCUUCAAGAUACCUUGUCGUUUCGCGCGUUUCGAGUGGAAAGCGGAGACUCUAAGGCUGAUGACAGACAACUAUCCGUAAGCGCUUACGGACUUACGUAAGCCGUAGACUUAAGGUAAGGCAGAGAAAAACGUAAGUCCGUAAGCGCUUACGGAUGGUUGUCUGCCAUCAGCCGAUCUCUUCCACGUUGACGCAAUUUUUCGAGAAGGGCUCGCCUUGCUAAAAAAUAUACGCACGUACACUGAGAAAACUUUCCAUCGGAUAAACCGAUUACAUAGCGUUUCCGACGGUUAAUUUUUGCAAUUACGUUUACCGAUUAAAUUAUGGAUACAUCCGAUGAAGUUGAUCCGAAGAAAUGCAGUUAUCGUUGAAAUUUGAUCGAAAAACCGAUUACAUUUUUCAUCGGAUCUUAGCCGUUUGUUAUUAUGCAACUGGAUUAUCCGAUUACAUUUAAUCGGGCAUUUUUCUCAGUGUAGAAUCAAUCAAGAACAGAUGAGCUCUCGCCUUGGCGGCUCGGUCUCUUACACGUAAUUGCCGUUCUCCCGCGUUGCGAAAUCUGCGAGUCCCUGGCGAGGAACGCAGAUACCGCGAUCGGUUACUCCGCGAAACUUCGCGGAAUUGCCAUCAUAAACGGUUUCAUCAAUUCGAGUAAUACCCGUCGUGCGAUUAGUAAGUUUGCUCUAGGUCCACUUAUCAGCCGCUGGCAGCUUCUCUAUUGGGGAGAGCCGCGUAAAAUAUCGCGAGAGCUCUGCUUCGCAAUCAUAAAUCUCAUCUUGAAGGGCUGAUACGUGGAUCUUCGAGCUACUCGAUAAAUAACACGAGUAAGUCUGCAUCUCGAGCUCCCGAGAGACACACGUUUCUUUCUCCCUUUUUUCUUUACCAAUUCGAAUCCUUAAAUAUCAGAUACGUCUAAAUAAUUUCGACAAGUUAAUCUUAAUCGCUUAAUUAAAUUAAUUAUAUUACAAUCAGCGAAAAUAAAUGGAGAUUGCUAAAUAAACCCGCGCGAUUAAGUCGAACGUGAUAAUUUGGAGAACAAAUACGCUGAUUAGAUUGUCGCGUAAUGGAACUUUAUUAUUCGAUUGCUCAAUCAAUGUUAAUUAAUAUUUUUCGCGAGCCCCGAAAAAUCUGUACGAGAUAGCGACGCUUCUACUACGUUGACAGUGUAAAAGCUAUGGUCCGCGGCAAUUUAUCAUGUAAUUUAUUUGUUAGAAUGUAACCAGUUCGAUAACCGGCACAGUCCGCGCGGCAAGACACAAAAUUUUCCAUUAGGAUAAUGCUUAGGAAAACAAAGUAAACAUGACUGUAUGUUUUAUCACUACUUCCGAUAAAACGUCAGCCCUACUCUACUCUACUACUAGCUCUACUAUGGAAAAAUCCUAUGGAAAAAUCCUAUGGAAAACGGUUGACAAGAUCGAUCCUGAAAGAGUUCUGUGGCCACACGUAAAUUUGGUUUAUAAAUUCCUCCAGGCCCAUAAGUAUUGUAAAAUAAUGUAUACAGUAAAUGGAAAAUUCCAAAAUCCCUGCGGACAUCCUGCCAUUGUCUUGAGCUCGAAUGUUUUGCAAUUAAAAUGACGAUUCGUCACGGGCAAGUUCCUAAGUUACGAUUUGGAACGAAGCAAUGUUAUAUAAUAUAGGCAGAUCGCGUUACUGGAAUUUAAGUUUAUUUUAUAUUUUGCAGAGCCACUAUUUAGAGAAUCGGUGCCAAGAUGCGUGGUCUCUCGGAAGAAGAUCCAAAAUAGCUGACGCUUUCGGCGGCUGGUCAGUGACCGACGCUGACCGAUGCAUUUCGCAAUUCUUAUAAUAUACGAAACAAUACAGCGCUUCCACAUACAACAAAUGCCCAUAUAAAUGUAUUAAGAAAGAAAACAAUAGAAUCUUUUAAACAUUGA